Molecule: ribosomal RNA, 250 nt
Filed under: uncultured bacterium
Lineage: Bacteria
Description: partial 16S ribosomal RNA
Rfam family: Bacterial small subunit ribosomal RNA
Source: RNAcentral
AAGUCGAGCGCCCCGCAAGGGGAGCGGCAGACGGGAGAGUAACACGUGGGAACGUGCCCUUUGGUUCGGAACAACACAGGGAAACUUGUGCUAAUACCGGAUAAGUCCGUAAGGAGAAAGAUUUAUCGCCAAAGGAUCGGCCCGCGUCUGAUUAGCUUGUUGGUGAGGUAACGGCUCACCAAGGCGACGAUCAGUAGCUGGUCUGAGAGGAUGAUCAGCCUCACUGGGACUGAGACACGGCCCAGACUCC